UACGUAGGGUGCGAGCGUUAAUCGGAAUUACCGGGCGUAAAGCGUGCGCAGGCGGUUCGCUAAGACCGAUGUGAAAUCCCCGGGCUUAACCUGGGAACUGCAUUGGUGACUGGCGGGCUAGAGUAUGGCAGAGGGGGGUAGAAUUCCACGUGUAGCAGUGAAAUGCGUAGAGAUGUGGAGGAAUACCGAUGGCGAAGGCAGCCCCCUGGGCCAAUACUGACGCUCAUGCACGAAAGCGUGGGGAGCAAACAGG
Molecule: ribosomal RNA, 253 nt
Filed under: uncultured bacterium
Lineage: Bacteria
Description: partial 16S ribosomal RNA
Rfam family: Bacterial small subunit ribosomal RNA
Source: RNAcentral